AGCUCCGAGGUGUUAACAUAUUAGAUUGCAAAUCUUAAGAAGCAGGAUAACCCCCUGCCGGGGCUU
Molecule: transfer RNA, 66 nt
Filed under: Atherinomorus stipes (hardhead silverside)
Lineage: Eukaryota; Metazoa; Chordata; Actinopteri; Atheriniformes; Atherinidae
Description: tRNA-Cys
Rfam family: tRNA
About the family: Transfer RNA (tRNA) molecules are approximately 80 nucleotides in length. Their secondary structure includes four short double-helical elements and three loops (D, anti-codon, and T loops).
Source: RNAcentral